Molecule: long non-coding RNA, 398 nt
Organism: Macrobrachium nipponense
Lineage: Eukaryota; Metazoa; Arthropoda; Malacostraca; Decapoda; Palaemonidae
Exons: 4
Source: RefSeq, a predicted model, not a curated record
CCAUCAUGCUCUGCACAUAGGUGGGAACCGCGCGAGUUUACUUGCUGCCAAGUGUGAACUGCGAAUUUUAUUCGUUCGUUAUCCUUAUAAUGAUACGCUCUGUGGAUUAUGAUAGCAGAAUUGGGCGCAGAAAUUCAUCAAGAGAAAAUGUAGUAAUGUAUCGCAGGUACUGGAGUCUCUUAAAUUCAUAAAACGCUGAAGAGGAAUAGUAUGUUAUGUUAUGUAAACCGAAGAUAGACUUCAUUGCUAGAUUUCAUCCAAGUUCCUCAGCACUCGGAAAAAUAAUCAUACACAGUCGUCUUCAUCAGUAGUUUACUAAUAUAAGGAUGAGGUCACUGGUCCCUAUUCGUGUCAACCCUAGCAAUAACCCACAACAGUCGACUACUUGCCAUGUAAGU